Molecule: ribosomal RNA, 618 nt
Filed under: Epinephelus morio (red grouper)
Lineage: Eukaryota; Metazoa; Chordata; Actinopteri; Perciformes; Serranidae
Description: partial 16S ribosomal RNA
Rfam family: Bacterial large subunit ribosomal RNA
Source: RNAcentral
CGCCUGUUUAUCAAAAACAUCGCCUCUUGCUAAACCAAAAGUAUAAGAGGUCCCGCCUGCCCUGUGACUAUAUGUUUAACGGCCGCGGUAUUUUGACCGUGCGAAGGUAGCGCAAUCACUUGUCUUUUAAAUGGGGACCUGUAUGAAUGGCACAACGAGGGCUUGACUGUCUCCUCUUUCAAGUCAAUGAAAUUGAUCUCCCCGUGCAGAAGCGGGGAUAAAUUCAUAAGACGAGAAGACCCUAUGGAGCUUUAGACACUAAAGCAGAUCAACAUUAAUACCCAAGACACAGGGCACGAAUAAACUGAGUCCUGCCCUAAUGUCUUAGGUUGGGGCGACCGCGGAGAAAUAAAAAACCCCCGCAAGGACCGAAUGUACCACAUUCACAACCAAGAGCGACAGCUCUAAUUAACAGACAUUUCUGACCAAUAAGAUCCGGCAACGCCGAUCAAUGGACCAAGUUACCCUAGGGAUAACAGCGCAAUCUCCUCUUAGAGCCCGUAUCAACGAGGAGGUUUACGACCUCGAUGUUGGAUCAGGACAUCCUAAUGGUGCAGCCGCUAUUAAGGGUUMGUUUGUUCAACGAUUAAAGUCCUACGUGAUCUGAGUUCAGACCGG